GUGCUAUCAUGCAGUCGAACGCUUCUUUCCUCCCGAGUGCUUGCACUCAAUUGGAAAGAGGAGUGGCGGACGGGUGAGUAACACGUGGGUAACCUACCCAUCAGAGGGGGAUAACACUUGGAAACAGGUGCUAAUACCGCAUAACAGUUUAUGCCGCAUGGCAUAAGAGUGAAAGGCGCUUUCGGGUGUCGCUGAUGGAUGGACCCGCGGUGCAUUAGCUAGUUGGUGAGGUAACGGCUCACCAAGGCCACGAUGCAUAGCCGACCUGAGAGGGUGAUCGGCCACACUGGGACUGAGACACGGCCCAGACUCCUACGGGAGGCAGCAGUAGGGAAUCUUCGGCAAUGGACGAAAGUCUGACCGAGCAACGCCGCGUGAGUGAAGAAGGUUUUCGGAUCGUAAAACUCUGUUGUUAGAGAAGAACAAGGACGUUAGUAACUGAACGUCCCCUGACGGUAUCUAACCAGAAAGCCACGGCUAACUACGUGCCAGCAGCCGCGGUAAUACGUAGGUGGCAAGCGUUGUCCGGAUUUAUUGGGCGUAAAGCGAGCGCAGGCGGUUUCUUAAGUCUGAUGUGAAAGCCCCCGGCUCAACCGGGGAGGGUCAUUGGAAACUGGGAGACUUGAGUGCAGA
This 633-nucleotide ribosomal RNA is filed under the name uncultured bacterium. RNAcentral's name for it is "bacterial SSU rRNA". It matches the Rfam family "Bacterial small subunit ribosomal RNA", at positions 44 to 652 of the family's 1533-position model. The record is from RNAcentral.